GAUGAACGCUGGCGGCGUGCCUAAUACAUGCAAGUCGAGCGAACAGACGAGGAGCUUGCUCCUCUGACGUUAGCGGCGGACGGGUGAGUAACGCGUGGAUAACCUACCUAUAAGACUGGGAUAACUUCGGGAAACCGGAGCUAAUACCGGAUAAUAUAUUGAACCGCAUGGGUCAAUAGUGAAAGACGGCUUUGCUGUCACUUAUAGAUGGAUCCGCGCCGCAUUAGCUAGUUGGUAAGGUAACGGGUUACCAAGGCAACGAUGCGUAGACGAACUGAUGGGGUGAUAGGCCACACUGGAACGGAAACACGGUCCAGACUACUACGGGAGGCAGCAGUAGGGAAUCUUCCGCAAUGGGCGAAAGCUUGACGGAGUAACGCCGAGCGAGUGAUGAAGGUCUUCGGAUCGUAAAGCUCUGUUAUUGGGGAAGAACAAAUUUGUAAGUAACCAUGCACGUCUUGACGGUAACUAAUCAGAAAGCAACGGCUAACUACGUG
This 497-nucleotide ribosomal RNA is filed under the name uncultured bacterium. RNAcentral's name for it is "partial 16S ribosomal RNA". It matches the Rfam family "Bacterial small subunit ribosomal RNA", at positions 28 to 507 of the family's 1533-position model. The record is from RNAcentral.